AUUGAACGCUGGCGGAAUGCUUUACACAUGCAAGUCGAGCGGCAGCGCGGGGCAACCUGGCGGCGAGCGGCGAACGGGUGAGUAAUGUAUCGGAACGUGUCCUGUCGUGGGGGAUAGCCCGGUGAAAACCGGAUUAAUACCGCAUACGAUCGAGAGAUGAAAGUGGGAGACCGCAAGGCCUCACGCGAUAGGAGCGGCCGAUAUCUGAUUAGCUAGUUGGUGGGGUAAAGGCCCACCAAGGCUUCGAUCAGUAGCUGGUCUGAGAGGAUGAUCAGCCACACUGGGACUGAGACACGGCCCAGACUCCUACGGGAGGCAGCAGUGGGGAAUUUUGGACAAUGGGGGCAACCCUGAUCCAGCCAUUCCGCGUGAGUGAAGAAGGCCUUCGGGCUGUAAAGCUCUUUUGUCCGGGAAGAAACGGUUUUGGCUAAUAACCAAGACUACUGACGGUACCGGAAGAAUAAGGACCGGCUAACUACGUGCCAGCCGCCGCAGUAA
This 498-nucleotide ribosomal RNA is filed under the name uncultured bacterium. RNAcentral's name for it is "partial 16S ribosomal RNA". It matches the Rfam family "Bacterial small subunit ribosomal RNA", at positions 30 to 523 of the family's 1533-position model. The record is from RNAcentral.